This 261-nucleotide ribosomal RNA is filed under the name uncultured Burkholderiales bacterium. RNAcentral's name for it is "partial 16S ribosomal RNA". It matches the Rfam family "Bacterial small subunit ribosomal RNA", at positions 524 to 784 of the family's 1533-position model. Lineage: Bacteria; Pseudomonadati; Pseudomonadota; Betaproteobacteria; Burkholderiales. The record is from RNAcentral.
UACGUAGGGUGCAAGCGUUAAUCGGAAUUACUGGGCGUAAAGCGUGCGCAGGCGGUUAUGCAAGACAGAGGUGAAAUCCCCGGGCUCAACCUGGGAACUGCCUUUGUGACUGCAUGGCUAGAGUACGGUAGAGGGGGAUGGAAUUCCGCGUGUAGCAGUGAAAUGCGUAGAUAUGCGGAGGAACACCGAUGGCGAAGGCAAUCCCCUGGACCUGUACUGACGCUCAUGCACGAAAGCGUGGGGAGCAAACAGGAUUAGAUA